GACGAACGCUGGCGGCGUGCUUAACACAUGCAAGUCGAACGGAAAGGCCCUGCUUUUGUGGGGUGCUCGAGUGGCGAACGGGUGAGUAACACGUGAGUAACCUGCCCUUGACUUUGGGAUAACUUCAGGAAACUGGGGCUAAUACCGGAUAGGAGCUCCUGCUGCAUGGUGGGGGUUGGAAAUUUUCGGCGUUUGGGGAUGGACUCGCGGCUUAUCAGCUUGUUGGUGGGGUAGUGGCUUACCAAGGCUUUGACGGGUAGCCGGCCUGAGAGGGUGAACGGCCACAUUGGGACUGAGAUACGGCCCAGACUCCUACGGGAGGCAGCAGUGGGGAAUAUUGCACAAUGGGCGGAAGCCUGAUGCAGCAACGCCGCGUGCGGGAUGACGGCCUUCGGGUUGUAAACCGCUUUCGCCUGUGACGAAGCGUGAGUGACGGUAAUGGGUAAAGAAGCACCGGCUAACUACGUG
This 468-nucleotide ribosomal RNA is filed under the name uncultured bacterium. Its description in RNAcentral is "partial 16S ribosomal RNA". It matches the Rfam family "Bacterial small subunit ribosomal RNA", at positions 28 to 507 of the family's 1533-position model. The record is from RNAcentral.